CAUGCCUUAAACGAUGUAUACUAGGAGUAAGAGGGCUCAACCCCCCUUGUUCCGGAGCUAACGCAUUAAGUAUACCGCCUGGGGANGCAACGCGAAGAACCUUACCUGGGCUAGAAGUGUAGAGGACGACAUCAGAGAUGAUGUUUCUCGAAAGGGUCUUUACAUAGGUGC
This 171-nucleotide ribosomal RNA is filed under the name uncultured bacterium. RNAcentral describes it as "partial 16S ribosomal RNA". The record is from RNAcentral.